CGGGUGAGUAACACGUAAACAACCUGCCUUCAGGAUGGGGACAACAGACGGAAACGACUGCUAAUACCGAAUACGCUUGGGAGACCGCAUGAUCUUCCAAGGAAAGGGUGGCCUCUACCUGUAAGCUAUCGCCUGAAGAGGGGUUUGCGUCUGAUUAGGCAGUUGGCGAGGUAACGGCCCACCAAACCUACGAUCAGUAGCCGGUCUGAGAGGAUGAACGGCCACACUGGAACUGAGACACGGUCCAGACUCCUACGGGAGGCAGCAGUGGGGAAUCUUCCGCAAUGGGCGAAAGCCUGACGGAGCAACGCCGCGUGAGUGAUGACGGCCUUCGGGUUGUAAAGCUCUGUGAUCGGGGACGAACGGUCCGUAAGUCAAUACCUUAUGGAAGUGACGGUACCCGAAUAGCAAGCCACGGCUAACUACGUGCCAGCAGCCGCGGUAAUACGUAGGUGGCAAGCGUUGUCCGGAAUUAUCGGGCGUAAAGCGCGCGCAGGCGGCUUUCUAAGUCCAUCUUAAAAGUGCGGGGCUUAACCCCGUGAUGGGAUGGAAACUGGAAAGCUGGAGUAUCGGAGAGGAAA
Molecule: ribosomal RNA, 581 nt
Filed under: uncultured bacterium
Lineage: Bacteria
Description: bacterial SSU rRNA
Rfam family: Bacterial small subunit ribosomal RNA
Source: RNAcentral